GACGUAGGGGGCCAGCGUUGUUCGGAAUUACUGGGUGUAAAGGGUUCGUAGGCGGUGUGGCAAGUCGGGAGUGAAAUCUCUGGGCUCAACCCAGAGUCUGCUUCCGAAACUGCUGUGCUUGAGUGUGGGAGAGGCGCGUGGAAUUGCAGGUGUAGCGGUGAAAUGCGUAGAUAUCUGCAGGAACACCCGUGGCGAAAGCGGCGCGCUGGACCACUACUGACGCUGAGGAACGAAAGCUAGGGGAGCAAACAGGAUUAGAAC
This 261-nucleotide ribosomal RNA is filed under the name uncultured bacterium. Its description in RNAcentral is "partial 16S ribosomal RNA". It matches the Rfam family "Bacterial small subunit ribosomal RNA", at positions 524 to 784 of the family's 1533-position model. The record is from RNAcentral.